UUGGACUUGAAAUCCUAGAACUUAGAGAGAGAAGCUCCGAAGCAAGCUAAGCCUCCACAAGUUCUUCCAAGAUCUCUCCGAGCAUCCCGUCGGACUUCAGCAAACUCCGAUCAUCCCAAGUCUGAUCGUCCAUCAAAGGGAGAAGAUUUCCUGACCAAGUCAUGGGCUUAUAAAGUAAUAAUAAGUAUGAAUCUUCGGAGACUCAAGGAAGGGAAGGUAAUAUGAUGAUCAUUAAUCACAGAAUUGGCUCCAGAUACAUCAAUCUGGAUGUGAUACAAUUGUAAGAGAAAUUGGGUGCCUAAUAAGACAAAUUGGGAGAGUACUUUGACCAUAAUAAAUGAGGUCUUAAGACAAUGUCCAUUAUUAAAGAUUGUAGCAAAUGAUAAUUUAUAUUCAAUUUGCAUUUUGAAUC
Long non-coding RNA from Macadamia integrifolia, 412 nucleotides. RefSeq lists it as uncharacterized. The record is from RefSeq and is a predicted model, not a curated record. NCBI's taxonomy places the organism in Eukaryota, Viridiplantae, Streptophyta, Magnoliopsida, Proteales, Proteaceae. The transcript has 3 exons.